Homo sapiens (human) is the source of this 1148-nucleotide long non-coding RNA. RefSeq lists it as uncharacterized. The record is from RefSeq and is a predicted model, not a curated record. The transcript has 3 exons. NCBI's taxonomy places the organism in Eukaryota, Metazoa, Chordata, Mammalia, Primates, Hominidae.
ACCCCUGGCAUGGUUACAUCUGGAGAACCACAGCAUGAACAAGAUUAUGGAGAAAGGAAUCAGCGUUGUUUAUAUGGGGAACCAUGAGAAACCCCGUGCAGCUGGAGUGGCGGCCUCGCAUAUCAAAUAGACAGAGGCAUUUUUCCACUGUGGACACCAGACCAGGUAUGGACAGAAUGCAAAGGAGACUCCAAGUCUGUCUGGAUUUUGUUUUCUGAAAGCUGAAGUCUAGAAGAAUUUGAAGAAAUGAUGGAAGAGUUUAAAAAAAAAAGAAUGAUGCUUGAAAGGUAUGGAACUUUCUGAGGUAAGGCAACUAUUAGGUUGUAGAAUUGGGUUUUGAAUGCAGUGCAGAUUUCUCUCUUUCUUUCUCCUGUGUUCUUUCUCACCCUUGUUUCCACUAGUGAUUCUACCUUCUUUCUACAGCGGCAAUAUUUAUUUUAACAAAUGUACAUAAUUUAUAGACCAUGCUAAUUUUUUUUGUCUUUAAAGUAGUAACUUUGUGUGAAUAUUCCAAUAAUAUUACUUUUUACAAAACAAAUUUAGAGCACCCUCAGGAUUUGCCUUUAAAGGCAGAUUAUGAGGCCUGGAAGAAGAGUUUUAUUUCAUGUUUUCUCACAUCAUACGUGUCUAAAAUUGACAAUGAAUUGGUUACUGACAAUUAGCAUAAAGUUUGGUAUUGGAUAACUAGUGGGUAAUUUAAAAACAUUCUCAAUGGAUAAAAGAUAUCACAUCUCCAUUGACUUUAGGGAAAAAAGUAUGUUAAGAGCUCUUAAGGCUAUUUAAGAAAAAGACUUGAAGUGUGAUAUCAUAGCAUUUCAGAACUGAAACAGAUCUUUGUCCAUCUUCCUUUUUCAGCCCAAAGAUACUUUCAAGUGGUUUAAAGAUAACAUACAGAUUAUUACAUUAGAAACACAAAGUUAUUCAAGAAAAUGUUCACCAAAAAUAUUUUUUUCUGUUUUUACAUAUUCGUAAGACAUUUAAUUCCAAGAAGGAGAUUUAAUGUCUACCACUAGAGCGAAUGAAACAGUGAAGACAGAUUUCUACUUAAUCCCCCUGAAAUAAAGAAAGCUAAUUUUUAAGGCUUAAUAUGACAAUGAAGAGUAAGAAUUUCACAAAAUCCAGGUGGAUAAAUGAUAUCGAUAUUAUAU